UCUGAUGAUUGUUAUUAUAUGCAAACUCUAUCAGUGAUAGGUGGUCAUCCUAAUUUUCCCCAAUAUCCAUGAUGCAUGCCUGCAGCAUGUCCUCUAGUGUAUGUAUGGUUCUUUCAUAUUGUUCAUUCGUCUAUGGGUUGAAGAUUAUACUGAAACACAACUGCAUUCCAAGUGUCUUUUAAAAAUUAUCCCAAAAAUUGAGAUGUAAACUGAGGGUACUGAUCAGAUAUAAUAGAGACUGAAAUUCCAUGAAGUUUGACUAUUUUUUGGAUAUAAAGUCCGGCCAGUUUAUCUAGUGGAUCUAUAAUCUUUAUUGCAAGGAAGGG
Molecule: long non-coding RNA, 326 nt
Filed under: Carica papaya (papaya)
Lineage: Eukaryota; Viridiplantae; Streptophyta; Magnoliopsida; Brassicales; Caricaceae
Description: long non-coding RNA (CPAP_LNC008132)
Source: RNAcentral